RNAcentral lists this transfer RNA (71 nucleotides) under Sporisorium reilianum SRZ2. RNAcentral's name for it is "tRNA-Arg for anticodon UCU". It matches the Rfam family "tRNA". From Rfam's summary of the family: Transfer RNA (tRNA) molecules are approximately 80 nucleotides in length. Their secondary structure includes four short double-helical elements and three loops (D, anti-codon, and T loops). Further hydrogen bonds mediate the characteristic L-shaped molecular structure. tRNAs have two regions of fundamental functional importance: the anti-codon, which is responsible for specific mRNA codon recognition, and the 3' end, to which the tRNAs corresponding amino acid is attached (by aminoacyl-tRNA synthetases). tRNAs cope with the degeneracy of the genetic code in two manners: having more than one tRNA (with a specific anti-codon) for a particular amino acid; and 'wobble' base-pairing, i.e. permitting non-standard base-pairing at the 3rd anti-codon position. The record is from RNAcentral. Lineage: Eukaryota; Fungi; Basidiomycota; Ustilaginomycetes; Ustilaginales; Ustilaginaceae.
GAAGAUAUAACUUAAUGGUAGAGUGGUUUACUUCUAAUGAACUUGUAAUGGUUCGAUUCCAUUUAUCUUCU